Molecule: ribosomal RNA, 164 nt
Filed under: Limosilactobacillus fermentum
Lineage: Bacteria; Bacillati; Bacillota; Bacilli; Lactobacillales; Lactobacillaceae
Description: partial 16S ribosomal RNA
Rfam family: Bacterial small subunit ribosomal RNA
Source: RNAcentral
UUUAGAGUUUGAUCAUGGCUCAGGAUGAACGCCGGCGGUGUGCCUAAUACAUGCAAGUCGAACGCGUUGGCCCAAUUGAUUGAUGGUGCUUGCACCUGAUUGAUUUUGGUCGCCAACGAGUGGCGGACGGGUGAGUAACACGUAGGUAACCUGCCCAGAGGCGG